CAAUUCUGUGAGGUAUAAUGUGUUGUCGCAAGUGGCUCGUGAUGUGUUAGCAUUUCCCGUCUCUACAGUUGCAUCCGAGUCGGCUUUUAGCACCGGAGGACGCAUAUUUGAUCCUUUUCGCAGCUCACUUUCUCCUGCGAUGGUAGAGAUGCUUGUAUGUGGACAAAAUUGGCUUCGAAAUGAUGUCCCCAUUUCUCUUCGUAAGGCAAUGGAUGACAUUGAGCAAUAUGAAUCCUACGACUCAGUUUUACUGGAUCAAGAUCAACCUCAAACUCAAGCCUUGGUUCAGGUUGAUUAACUAUCAUCGACAAUGGAUUUUGGUAUAAUGCUUUUUGUGGAUAUUUUGCAGCCGAACACUCUAAUUUUAUGGCUGUUUUUUUUGUGGGUUUGAAGUGGUAUAGUAUGAAUGGGGUAUAGUUUUUGAAGUGGUACAAAAUCAACAUGGGGUAUAGUCUUGUUGAAGUUUGAAUGGGGUAUAGUUUUUGAUGUGGACUUUAAUUUACUUUGA
Long non-coding RNA from Rhododendron vialii, 508 nucleotides. RefSeq lists it as uncharacterized. The transcript is spliced from 3 exons. The record is from RefSeq and is a predicted model, not a curated record. NCBI's taxonomy places the organism in Eukaryota, Viridiplantae, Streptophyta, Magnoliopsida, Ericales, Ericaceae.